CCCUGCCCUUUGUACACACCGCCCGUCGCUACUACCGAUUGAAUGGCUCAGUGAGGCUUUUGGACUGGCUUAGGGAGGUUGGCAACGACCACCCCGAGCCGGAAAGUUAUACGAACUUGGUCAUUUAGAGG
Molecule: ribosomal RNA, 131 nt
Filed under: Roussoella sp.
Lineage: Eukaryota; Fungi; Ascomycota; Dothideomycetes; Pleosporales; Thyridariaceae
Description: partial small subunit ribosomal RNA
Rfam family: Eukaryotic small subunit ribosomal RNA
Source: RNAcentral